CUUUUAUUUCUUUUAUUUCUCUGAUUGCUGUGGCUAGGACUUCCAGAACUAUGUUGAAGAGUAGUGGUGAGAGCAGACAUCCUUGUCUUGUUCCUGAUCUCAGCGGGAAUUCUUUCAGCUUUUCACCAUUGAGAAUGAUGUUAGCUGUGGGUUUGUCGUAUAUGGCCUUUAUCAUGUUGCGAUAGGUUCCCUGUAUGCCCACUUUCUGAAGGGUUUUUAUCAGAAAUGGGUGUUGGCUUUUUUCAAAGGCUUUUUCCACGUCUGUUGAGAGGAUCAUAUGGUUUUUAUUCUUCAGUUUGUUAAUGUGGUAUAUCAUACUGAUGGAUUUGCGGAUAUUGAAGAACCCUUGCAUCCCUGAGAUAAAUCCCACUUGAUCAUGAUGUAUAAUCCUUUUAAUGUAUUGUUGGAUGCGGUUUGCUAGUAUUUUGUUGAGGGUUUUUGCAUCGAUGUUCAUGAGUGAAAUUGGCCUAUAGUUUUCUUUUUUUGUGGUAUCUUUGUCUGGCUUUGGUACCAGGGUGAUGAUGGCCUCAUAGAAUGAGUUUGGGAGUAUCCCUUCCUCUGCAAUUUUUUGGAAUAGUUUCAGAAGGAGAGGUGUUAGCUCUUCUCUAAAUGUUUGAUAGAAUUUGCCUGUGAAGCCGUCUGGUCCUGGACUUUUGUUUGUUGGAAGUUUUUUAAUCACAGUUUCAAUUUCAGUUCUUGGGGUUGGUCCAUUCAUCUUUUCUGUUUCAUCUUGGUUUAGUCUUGGAAGAUUGUACUUUUCUAAGAAUUUGUCCACCUCUUCUAGGUUUUCCAUUUUAUUGGCAUAUAGUUGCAUAUAGUAGUCUCUUACGAUCCUUUGUAUUUCUGUGAUGUCCGUUGUUACUUCUCCUUUUUCAUUUCCAAUUUUAUUGAUUUGAGUCCUCUCUCUUUUUUUCUUGAGAAGUCUGGCUAAGGGUUUAUCAGUUUUGUUGGAUCUUUUCAAAGAACCAGUUUUUCGUUUCAUUGAUCUUUUCUAUGGUUUUCUUCGUUUCUUAUUUCAUUGAUUUUGGCUCUGAUCUUUAUGGUUUCUUUCCUUCUACUAACUUUAGGUCUUGUCUGUUCUUCUCUCUCGAGCUGCUGUAGAUGUAAAGUUAGGUUGUUUAUUUGGGCUUUUUCUUGUUUCCUGAGGUGGGCUAGUAUUGCUAUAAAACUUUCCUCUUAGAACGGCUUUUGCUGAAUCCCAUAGGUUUUGGAGUGUCGUAUCUUCGUUGUCAUUUGCGGCUAGGUAUUUUUAAAUUUCCUCUUUGAUUUCUUUGGUUGUUUAAUAGCAUGUUGUUGAGUCUCCACGUGUUUGUGUUUUUUGCAGUUUUUUUCUUGUUGAUUUCUAAUCAUAUAGCGUUGUGUUUGGAAAAGAUGCUUGAUAUGAUUUCAAUUUUCUUAAAGUUACCGGGGUUGGAUUUGUAGCCCAGGAUAUGAUCAAUCUUAGAGAGUGUUCCAUGUGCACUUGAGAAGAAUGUGUAUUUUGUUGCUUUUGGAUGAAGUGUCCUAUAAAUAUCUAUUAAGUCCAUCUGGUCUAAUGCUUCAUUCAGGGCCUGUGUUUCCUUAUUGACUUUCUGUCUGGAUGAUCUGUCCAUUGCUGUAAGUGGGGUGUUGAAGCCCCCCACUAUUGUUGUGUUAUGGUCGAUUUCUCCUUUUAAGGUUUUCAGCAAUUGCCUUAUAUAUGGUGGUGAAACUGUGUUGGGUGUGUAGAUAUUUAAAAUUGUUAUAUCAUCUUCUUGGAUUGAUCCUUUGAUCAUUAUGUAAUGUCCCUCCUUGUCCCUUAAAAUAUUCUUCAUUUUAAAGACUAUUUUGUCUGAUAUGAGUAUUGCUACUCCACCUUUCUUUUGGCCCCUGUUUGCAUGAAAUAUUUUCUUCCAUCCUCUCACUUUCAAUUUGUAUGUGUCCCUAGAAGUGAAGUGGGUCUCUUGAAGACAGCAUAUAUAUGGAUCUUGUUUUUGUAUCCAUUCAGCCAGUCUGUGUCUUUUGGGUGGGGUGUUUAGUCUAUUAACACUUAAGGUAAUUAUUGAUAUGCAUGUUCUUAUUGCCAUUUUAUUAAUUGCUUUGGAUUUGUAUUUGUUGCUCUUUUUUCUUCCCUUCUUCUCUUGUUCUCUCCUCUUCUGGUUUGAUGACUAUCCUUAGUGUUUGUUGUGUUUGAGUUGAUGUUUCCCAUUUGUUUAUGUAUCAAUUGUAGAUUUUUUUGUUUGCAGUUAUUCUGAAAUUUUGAUAUGUCUAUAUAUAUAGAAGAUUGUUUUAAUAUUUAAUUGUAGAUUUUUUUGUUUGCAGUUAUUCUGAAAUUUUGAUAUGUCUAUAUAUAUACAAGAUUGGUCUUAAUUGCAAGUGCAUCUCCAGUGUCCUGCAUCUGUACCCUCCUCUUCUCAUGAUUUCUGAUUUUGGUGGCAUAAUUGUGUGUGGAUGAUUUCGUAUCUUUACUAUAUAUAUACCUUUACUGGUGAGCCUUGUCAUUUGUGGCCUUUUUGUUUCCUGUUGCACCUUUUCUUUUCUGUCUAGAGAAGUCCCUUUAGUAUUUGUUGUAAAGUUGGUUUAGUGUUGCUGAAUUCUUUUAGCUUUUGUUUAUCUGUGAAGCUUUUGAUUUUUGAUUUCUCUUUCAAAUCUGAAUGAGAGCCUUAAUGGGUAAAGUAAUCUUGGUUGGAGGUUUUUUUCCUUUCAUCACGUUGAGUAUAUCAUGCCACUCCCUUCUGGCCUGCAGAGUUUCUGCUGAAAAAUCUGCCGAUAACUUUAUUGGGGUUCCCUUGUACGUUAUUUGUUUCUUUCCCCUAGCUGCUUUCAAGAUUUUCUCUUUGUCUUUAAUUUUGGUCAGUUUGAUUAGUAUGUGUCUUGGGGUGUUCCUCCUUGGGUUUAUUUUAUAUGGUACUCGUUGAACUUCCUGGAUUUGAGUGAGUGGUUCGUUUUCCUUUUUAGGGAAGUUUUUGGCUAUUAUCUCUUGGAAUAUUUUUUCUGUCUCCUUCCCUCUCUCUUCUCCUUCUGGCAUCCCUAUAAUAUGGAUGUUGUUGCGUUUCAUGUUGUCCCAGAGUUCU
This 3032-nucleotide long non-coding RNA is filed under the name Sus scrofa (pig). Its description in RNAcentral is "lncRNA (ENSSSCG00040045685.1)". Lineage: Eukaryota; Metazoa; Chordata; Mammalia; Artiodactyla; Suidae. The record is from RNAcentral.